Molecule: ribosomal RNA, 503 nt
Filed under: uncultured bacterium
Lineage: Bacteria
Description: partial 16S ribosomal RNA
Rfam family: Bacterial small subunit ribosomal RNA
Source: RNAcentral
AUUGAACGCUGGCGGCAGGCUUAACACAUGCAAGUCGAGCGGGGUGAUGGUGCUUGCACUAUCACUUAGCGGCGGACGGGUGAGCAAUGCUUAGGAAUCUGCCUAUUAGUGGGGGACAACAUCUCGAAAGGGAUGCUAAUACCGCAUACGUCCUACGGGAGAAAGCAGGGGAUCACUUGUGACCUUGCGCUAAUAGAUGAGCCUAAGUCGGAUUAGCUAGUUGGUGGGGUAAAGGCCUACCAAGGCGACGAUCUGUAGCGGGUCUGAGAGGAUGAUCCGCCACCCGGGGACUGAGACACGGCCCAGACUCCUACGGGAGGCAGCAGUGGGGAAUAUUGGAAAAGGGGGGGAACCCUGAUCCAGCCAUGCCGCGUGUGUGAAGAAGGCCUUAUGGUUGUAAAGCACUUUAAGCGAGGAGGAGGCUCUUUUGGUUAAUACCCAAGAUGAGUGGACGUUACUCGCAGAAUAAGCACCGGCUAACUCUGUGCCAGCCGCCGCGGUAA